Molecule: unclassified non-coding RNA, 645 nt
Filed under: Hevea brasiliensis (rubber tree)
Lineage: Eukaryota; Viridiplantae; Streptophyta; Magnoliopsida; Malpighiales; Euphorbiaceae
Source: RNAcentral
AGGCGGCCUAUUGAACCAAAAAGGGAACUCAAGGAGCGGCUAACUGCAAGAUGGGCCAUGAAGAAGUUUGCUGAGGAUGAUUCAAUUGCAAUCUUGGACCCAAGGCUGGAACGUACUGCAGUAACUAACUUGCUCAUUGAGAAGAUUCUUGAAUUAGCCUUACAGUGUUUGGCCCCAGGCAGACAAGGCCGGCCAGCCAUGAGGAAAUGUGCAGAGAUUCUAUGGGGUAUUCGUAAGGAAUGCAAAGAACUAUCAGCUUCGGAGUUCCGUUCACUUUCCUCAAAUUCAUGGAGCUCCUCAGUGAGGGAAGAAUAAGCGAACGGCUAAAUGAGAUCUAGAAUCCAAAUUGCAAAUUGUGAAUUUAAGCUUAACGGGCAGAAAUGAAAGCCAAAAGCCAGAUGCUUCUUAAGAGAUACAACUGAUUUGAUACUAGUUGUGGGGGUUCAGGACAGAAAGGAGCUAAAAAUUUUCCAUUCUGUACGCAACGAUGGCAGCUUUGAUAGGAUUCUACUAGUUGCAAGAUCAUAGAUGGGAAUAUGGUCAAGAAAUUGGGUUAUAUAUAGAAAUUUUAUNNNNNNNNNAGUUCCUUGCUUCUACCUGAUUCUGUGUUCAUUAAAUAUUCAUCUUUGAUACUUUUUCCCGUCA